GGCAAGGCAGAUUUCUUAGUUUUCCGGGCACUAAAUCAGCAGGUUUUCUUGGACAACUACAAGAAAAGAAGCUUGUGAGUCAUGUGGAGUUUCAGCUGUUACUUAGUUUUGUUAAUGUGUUUAUUCGACUGUCUAUAUUGUACCCGCCUUUCAUUGGCUAGUUUCUCCUUCAAAUAAGAUCUCUAGUUUUUGCCAGCAA
Magnolia sinica is the source of this 199-nucleotide long non-coding RNA. RefSeq lists it as uncharacterized. Lineage: Eukaryota; Viridiplantae; Streptophyta; Magnoliopsida; Magnoliales; Magnoliaceae. The transcript is spliced from 2 exons. The record is from RefSeq and is a predicted model, not a curated record.